RNAcentral lists this long non-coding RNA (283 nucleotides) under Mytilus galloprovincialis (Mediterranean mussel). Lineage: Eukaryota; Metazoa; Mollusca; Bivalvia; Mytilida; Mytilidae. The record is from RNAcentral.
UAUACUUAGACUAAAUAACAUAUGAUUUUUACUGUAUGAUAAUAGCAUUAAAUCAACGUAAAUUCCAUAUUUUUCGAAUUGGUGCUUAGCGGGCUGAUAUGAAAAGUUUAUCACAUGCUUCGAGUGUUAUCACAUGCCUUUCCGUAACGUUAUCGCAUGGCAUUCCGGUGAUACUCGGCAAAUUCCGGAAAAUAUACAUCAAUGCUACAUUUUCAUUAAAAAAACUUACAAAGUAGUGUACAAUCUCAAUUUUAUUAAGAAAACAAUUAUUUGGAUACUGGAA